GGGGCGUUGGUCUAGUGGUAUGAUUCCUCGUUUGGGCGACGAGUCGCGGAACAUCGCGAUAUAUUCUCACACCGCAUCGAGACGACGACGGACGUCGAGGAGGUCGCGAGUUCGAUUCUCGCACGCCCCC
RNAcentral lists this transfer RNA (130 nucleotides) under Ostreococcus tauri. Its description in RNAcentral is "tRNA-Pro". It matches the Rfam family "tRNA". Rfam says of the family: Transfer RNA (tRNA) molecules are approximately 80 nucleotides in length. Their secondary structure includes four short double-helical elements and three loops (D, anti-codon, and T loops). The record is from RNAcentral. Lineage: Eukaryota; Viridiplantae; Chlorophyta; Mamiellophyceae; Mamiellales; Bathycoccaceae.